This 154-nucleotide unclassified non-coding RNA is filed under the name uncultured Ascomycota. RNAcentral's name for it is "sequence contains ITS1". The record is from RNAcentral. Lineage: Eukaryota; Fungi; Ascomycota.
AAGAAAUGCGGCGGAGGGGCCCAGCGCCCCCGAGCCAACACGUUCUACCCUGCCUUUUGUAUACCCACAACUCCUCCCCGGCCCCCGGGCCGGGACGGCGAAACAAUGAACCUUGCAGUUUACAGUCAAUUCAGUACUCUUGUAACAUAAAUUA